Oryza rufipogon (brownbeard rice) is the source of this 204-nucleotide microRNA precursor. It matches the Rfam family "MIR812 microRNA precursor family". The record is from Rfam. NCBI's taxonomy places the organism in Eukaryota, Viridiplantae, Streptophyta, Magnoliopsida, Poales, Poaceae.
AGAUACCGUAGUUUUACAUCGUUUAUAUUCAGCAUUUAACCGUUUAUUUUAUUUUUUAAAUUUUCAUGAUUAGUAUUUUUUUAUUGAUAUUAUAUGAUAGAACAUGAAAAGUAUUUUAUGUGUGACUAUUUUUUUAAAAAAAAUUCUUAAAAUUUUCAAAUAAGACGGACGGUUAAACGUUAUACACGGAAACCUAUAAUUAAU